UCACAGUUUGCACUGGCAGUCUUGUUAGAGUUCCCGACAUUACUCGCUGGCAACUAACAACAGGGGUUGCGCUCGUUAUAGGACUUAACCUGACACCUCACAGCACGAGCUGACGACAACCGUGCAGCAUCUGUCAUCUGGUUCCUUGCGGCACGGCCCUAUUUCUAGGGCUUUCCGGUAUAUGUCAAACCCAGGUAAGGUUCUUCGCGUUGCAUCGAAUUAAGCCACAUGCUCCGCCGCUUGUGCGGGUCCCCGUCAAUUCCUUUGAGUUUUAGCCUUGCGGCCGUACUCCCCAGGCGGGGUGCUUAAUGCGUUAGCGUCGGCACGGAGAGGGUUGAAGACCUCCCCACACCUAGCACCCAACGUUUACGGCUGGGACUAC
This 382-nucleotide unclassified non-coding RNA is filed under the name uncultured Actinomycetes bacterium. Its description in RNAcentral is "uncultured actinobacterium contains 16S-23S intergenic spacer region". Lineage: Bacteria; Bacillati; Actinomycetota; Actinomycetes. The record is from RNAcentral.